Molecule: ribosomal RNA, 302 nt
Filed under: Heringocrania unimaculella
Lineage: Eukaryota; Metazoa; Arthropoda; Insecta; Lepidoptera; Eriocraniidae
Description: SSU rRNA
Rfam family: Eukaryotic small subunit ribosomal RNA
Source: RNAcentral
UAUUUUUUGCAUGGAAUAAUGGAAUACGACCUCGGUUCUAUUUUGUUGGUUCUCGGAAUCCGAGGUAAUGAUUAAUAGGAACAACUGGGGGCAUUCGUAUUGCGACGUUAGAGGUGAAAUUCUUGGAUCGUCGCAAGACGGACUACAGCGAAAGCAUUUGCCAAAGGUGUUUUCAUCAAUCAAGAACGAAAGUUAGAGGUUCGAAGGCGAUUAGAUACCGCCCUAGUUCUAACCAUAAACGUUGCCACCUGGCGAUCCGCCGACGUUACUAUAAUGGCUCGGCGGGCGGCCUCCGGGAAACC